Molecule: non-coding RNA, 307 nt
Organism: Paramuricea clavata
Lineage: Eukaryota; Metazoa; Cnidaria; Anthozoa; Malacalcyonacea; Plexauridae
Source: the annotation of a GenBank genome assembly
AAACGCGGAAACAAAAAGCCCUGGGUACGAGGUUGUAUUUAGAAAUCAGAGAAACAACACUUACGCCCGUAUUCUAAAAGCUCACUCACACGCAAUGAGUGGAGGUUCAAUCUAAGCUUCUCUUGAGUGUCAAUGCUGUUUUUGAAUAGCUGGAGGGUGAGCAAUCACAUAGUAAGGUACGGCACUACAUCUUCAGCUAUUCAACAUGAAAAGAAAAAAAAAAAAAAAUGUUUCGUCUCAAUAUAAUUAUAGAAAUACUAGACGUCUGUAAUUAGCGGUUGUCACCAUAGAUCACUUGUAUAUGCUG